UACGGAGGGUGCAAGCGUUGUUCGGAAUCACUGGGCGUAAAGGGCGCGUAGGCGGCUUGGCAAGUCAGAUGUGAAAGCCCACGGCUUAACCGUGGAAGUGCAUUUGAAACUGCCUGGCUUGAGUAUCAGAGGGGAAGGUGGAAUUCCCGGUGUAGAGGUGAAAUUCGUAGAUAUCGGGAGGAAUACCGGUGGCGAAGGCGACUUUCUGGCUGAAUACUGACGCUGAGGCGCGAAAGCGUGGGGAGCAAACAGG
This 253-nucleotide ribosomal RNA is filed under the name uncultured bacterium. Its description in RNAcentral is "partial 16S ribosomal RNA". It matches the Rfam family "Bacterial small subunit ribosomal RNA", at positions 524 to 776 of the family's 1533-position model. The record is from RNAcentral.